RNAcentral lists this ribosomal RNA (373 nucleotides) under uncultured organism. Its description in RNAcentral is "partial 16S ribosomal RNA". It matches the Rfam family "Bacterial small subunit ribosomal RNA", at positions 527 to 896 of the family's 1533-position model. The record is from RNAcentral.
GUAGGUGGCAAGCGUUGUCCGGAAUUAUUGGGCGUAAAGCGCGCGCAGGCGGUUCUUUAAGUUUGAUGUGAAAGCCCACGGGCUCAACCGUGGAGGGUCAUUGGAAACUGGAGAACUUGAGUACAGAAGAGGAAAGCGGAAUUCCACGUGUAGCGGUGAAAUGCGUAGAGAUGUGGAGGAACACCAGUGGCGAAGGCGGCUUUCUGGUCUGUAACUGACGCUGAGGCGCGAAAGCGUGGGGAGCAAACAGGAUUAGAUACCCUGGUAGUCCACGCCGUAAACGAUGAGUGCUAAGUGUUAGGGGGUUUCCGCCCCUUAGUGCUGCAGCUAACGCAUUAAGCACUCCGCCUGGGGAGUACGGCCGCAAAGGCUG